Apis laboriosa (Himalayan honeybee) is the source of this 1534-nucleotide RNA transcript. It is a transcript of the gene named TATA-box-binding protein, with no coding region annotated. The record is from RefSeq and is a predicted model, not a curated record. The transcript is spliced from 6 exons. NCBI's taxonomy places the organism in Eukaryota, Metazoa, Arthropoda, Insecta, Hymenoptera, Apidae.
UACAUUCUUUUUAAGCGAUUCUAAUUAACGUAUUAUUAAUGAUAUAAGGAAAUGUCAAAUCUAGCUUAACGUUUAAAAAGUCUAUGGUAAUUUUUAAACUAAGGAGUUGUAAACAAAUAAGAAUAAAACAAUGAAUAGAAAAUAAAGAUAAAAAGGAAGAUAUAGUUGAAAUAUAAAUUUAUUUCUGUAUAAAGUAUAUUUAUUUAUUCUUUCAGAAAUUAUAGAAAUAGAAAUUUAAAGUGUUUUUUAAAUAAAAAAAAAGAAUGGAUCAAAUGUUACCUAGUCCUGGAUUUAGCAUUCCAAGUAUAGGUACACCUUUACAUCAACCAGAAGAGGAUCAACAAAUCUUACCUAAUGCAUUACAACAACAGCAACAACAGCAGCAGCAACAGCAACAAUCACAGCAGCAACAACAAUCACAACAGUAUCAAUUACAACAACUACAUACUAUGAGUCCAAACAUACAAAGUGGUAUGCUGAUGAUCGGAACACCACAAAAAAAUAUGCACGCCUAUGCAACAACACCUACUUUUGCAACACCACAAAGUCUUAUGCAACCCCAAACACCGCAAAAUAUGAUGUCUCCAUUAGUACAAAAUACUAAUCAUAUAGCUCCUCCAUCUAUAGGACCAUCUACACCUGGUCCUAUGACACCUAUGACACCAGCUUCUGCAGAUCCAGGAAUAUUACCUCAACUUCAGAAUAUUGUUUCUACAGUUAAUUUAAAUUGCAAAUUAGAUUUAAAAAAAAUAGCUCUUCAUGCUAGAAAUGCGGAAUAUAAUCCAAAGAGAUUUGCUGCAGUUAUUAUGAGGAUAAGAGAACCAAGAACUACUGCAUUAAUAUUUAGUAGUGGAAAAAUGGUUUGUACUGGAGCAAAGAGUGAAGAGGAUUCUCGGUUGGCAGCAAGAAAGUAUGCCAGAAUUAUUCAGAAACUUGGUUUUCCUGCAAAAUUUCUUGAUUUCAAAAUACAAAAUAUGGUAGGCAGCUGUGAUGUGAAAUUUCCAAUUAGAUUAGAAGGUUUAGUACUUACACAUGGACAAUUCUCUUCAUAUGAACCUGAACUCUUCCCUGGAUUAAUAUAUCGUAUGGUUAAACCUAGAAUCGUUUUACUUAUAUUUGUUUCAGGAAAAGUAGUGUUAACAGGAGCAAAAGUUAGACAAGAGAUUUAUGAGGCAUUCGAUAAUAUCUAUCCUAUUUUGAAGAGCUUUAAAAAGCAGUGAUUUUAUUUUUUAUUACAUGUUAAAGUUAUGUAUUAAAUGGACAAAACUAAGCAGAAGCUUCCAAAUUUAUUAUUAUGGAAUAAUGUGAAAAAUAUAGACUAUUUGGAAAGCAAUUUACCUUCUUGAUGAUAUGGUACUUUGAUUGAAAGGUAGUUAUUCUUUAGAAUUGAACUAUUAAUUUAUAUAAUGUAUAUAUUGUUAAAAUUUAUAACAAAUUUCAUUUUAUUUUAUACAUAAAAUAUGAUUUAUAUUUUUUCAAUUAAUAGAAAUAACUAAUACCUCAUUAUGCAAAUAAUUGUAAAGAGAAGAAAGAA